RNAcentral lists this ribosomal RNA (118 nucleotides) under Olea europaea subsp. europaea. Lineage: Eukaryota; Viridiplantae; Streptophyta; Magnoliopsida; Lamiales; Oleaceae. The record is from RNAcentral.
ACCAAUGACUGUGCCACGUUGCAUACGCCAGUUCUCGACCGACCACUGAAGUUAAGCAACGUUGGGCGUGGUCAGUACUUGGAUGUUUGACCGUCUGGGAAAUCACGUGUUGUUGGUU